AUUUUUAGUUACAGGAAAAUAUCUGCUCACUAUUUAAUUUGUUCUUAAAAUAUGCCCUCUUGGUUUAAGAACACCUUAAAAGAUAAUUCAAUUUUUUUUUUCGUCUCUCUUUUCACUAAAUGAAAGAAUCAAUUUCUAGAUGAUUUUUAAAGAUUUUUUUCCUUCCUCUUCCUACUUUAUGAAGCCGUUUGUAACAUCAAAUGGCAAAAAUCUCUCACAUGAAGAAGCUGAGGUGGCAGGUGAAGGAUUAUUAGAGUUAUAAUUAUGAGAGGGGUUUGUGAAAGCACUCAGUGUAACUGAAUGUAAAUUCUAGGGCAGUUUGCCUUGUCUUAGUGUAGGAAAUAUGAAAAGGAAGCCACAACAGUUCUGAGAAUGCAAGAUUUUAAUUUUCUUUUCAGUUACUGAAGGAGUUUGAGACCAGUUCUGUAAAUGUACAGAACGUGUUUUUUUGACUUAUUCUGAUUAAUAAGAAAUUGCAACAGAACUGCUCAGAACUGUGGGAAAGCUCAGUGGCAAUUUUUGAAAAAAGGCCUUGGAAACAUAUUGGCCUUCUAAAAUAGAAACAUCCAAAGCUGCCAGUCUUAUUUUCCUCCAUUUUUGGCUUUGCAAUCGAGGUUUGUGAUUCUCCUGUUUUCAUUAUGUGCAGUAUUGUGUGGAUCCAUUCUAAUAAAUUCCGUUACUUGGAACAAUGAGAUGGAGCAUGAUUCAAAUCCUGAAUUAAAUGCAAAUCUAGCAGCAGAAAAAUGGAUUUAGUGGUAUGAUAAGAUUUGUAAUACAAAUAUAUUGCAUUAAAUAUAAAGUUUAAUUAAAUAGAAGAAUAUUGUAAGGACUGCCUUUCAAACUAGCAUUGUAUCUGUGACUAAACGUGUGCAGUCUGAGAACAGUGUGGAAAUUACAUGCUGGUGCCUUUGGAAGCAACAUAUAAUAUAUAUUUUUGCUUAAUUUUGGACAAAUGGUCUGUGUCUGCAGAAGACAUCUUUUCUUCAGGGUCAUCAAUGCUGGUUUUGAUACCAAAAGUAUUCAAAAAUUUAACUUUGUGAAUGAAAUUGUGAAGUCUCUCCCAAACAGAUUUACCGCAGGACCAUUGCAUUAUUUCUUUGAACUUCAAAACAGAAGAAGAACAGAUUUCAAAUCAUAUCAGCAGCCAGAUAAGUACAAUCUUAAUUGCAAUAUUGAUAUGGAACAACUUUAGAGCUUUAUGGCUGUAUAGUCCUUUGUACUAACGUGUGGAUCAGAGUAACACACAAAGAAGUUGGGCUACAAACCCAGGACAAUAUUCCUACAUUUCUGCUCAGGAAUGAACCUUAGUUGCAAGGGAAGAAAAAAUGAUGUUGCUAUUUUCCUAUUCUUUUAAUGGGGAAAGGGCUUUUUUUUGUUUUGUUUGCUUUUUGUGAGAAAUACUACUUUGUACAUACACAAGGGAAUUCAAAUAAUGAAUUGAUGUUUAGAAACAUGCAAGACCAUUGCGAUUUCUUUGCUUUGCAAGUAAAUAAAUGUCAUAGGUACAGAAAAUGUAGCCCUGAGGAAACAAGUGUCCCAUUUUCAUUAUGCCAAACAACUUUCUUGACAAGGGGACAACAUUUUCUGAACAACAUUUUGGCAAUAGAAUGCUUUAAAAGGCAUUUUAUAAGGCUACACAAUCCAAACUAUUUACUUUUCUUAAGUGAAGUAUUUGUAGCAACUAGGAAGUAAGGGAACAGGAGGGAAAAGUUUCUUCCUGUUGUUUCACUGAUGGUGAGGGAAAGUGAGUGCAGGCACAUUUGAGUUGCUGUGAUUGCACACAAACAGCACCUGCCUCCAUUUGCCACAGCCAUAUGAGAAUUGGAGACAAAACUAGAAUUGCUCAAUGUUUUCAGAAUCCAGAACAACAGGUCAUGACUAAAUACUGCCCUCCUCUAAUUUAAACUUAAGGAGAGCCACAUACUUGGAUUGAAGUGUAAAUUCAAAUUUUUGAAUUUAGCUUGUCUUCUAAGUAAUUCUGGCAAAUGUAUUUUCUUUAAUGACUCUUCUCAAGCAGAAAUAGAUACUGAAAUUAAAAGUGACUCAUGGAGUCCUAAGGAAGGCAAGAUUCUGCUUAUAUUUUAAAAUUAAUUUGAAAAUUUCUAAAUAUCAGUGACAUUUUUGAAAGUGCUGAAGAGUUCUGCUGUGGGAUAUAAAAGUGACUAUCUUGCUUUUAGCUCAUCUGUCUUUCAAAGAUAUGUAUCUGAAACUUUGGAUAAAUAUGCAGACCCUAAGAUAGACAAAAUACUGAUAACUGUCAAGGAUUAGGCCAUGCAAAACUAAACAUGAUUUUCUUUGAAGGUCAUUCAAAUUUUAAUGUUGCAGGUAUAUAAUAUGACUCAUUUCUUUAUUUGAAAUUAAUUAAAAUAUUUAAUAUAUUCAGCAUACAUCACCAGAAAAGUCAUCUACUCUUUGGAUAGAUGGGGUUCUCUUGUCAUACAAGAAAUGUUAAUAAUAUUGAUCCUAAAAAGAAAUAGUUUCAAAAAUAAAACAAUUGAAAUUUGAAAAUAAAUGUGUUCAGGUUUCCACUUACAUGCUGCAGUACUUCCUAAUCACAUAACAGUGUCACUCCUGCACACAACAAGCCAUCAACUAUUUUUAUUUUACCCUAAGCCUUUACACAAAGUAUUAAUUUACUUUGCAGCAUAAUGGAACCAGUUCUGCUGUCAGCACAGAGAGCUGCUGUGCACUGCAUCAGAAAGAGAGAUGACAGAAAUUCCAGCAGCAGCAGAAUUUAAAUGUCUCGCCUGUAAUUUUGCUCAGUGGCAUCUUUGUACAUCUGACAUGUGAAAUAUGUCUUUAGCUUUUGAGACAACAAAUGACAUUUGGUUUUGCUAAGAAGGCUUAGCAAAGGAAAGGCACAUUCGAAAUGUCAUUUGUGUUACCACAGAGGUGUCAUCUGAAAAUGAGCCUAAAUAUCUUUGGAAUAUCUUAUUACUUGGAAAUUUUUCCAAAAAUACCAUUAAACAAUUCAAUUUUUUUCCUUCUAGAAAUGCAGACAAGUGGACCUAGUUUUAUGCAUUUAUUUCUCCACUAUUUUUUACCCCAGCCCUCCCAAUUCAGUUGUCUUGGAAAAUGCCAAAACAUGAACUGAUUUCUGAGAAGACAAUGAAGAGCACAGCAAAACCUGAGCACAUUUCUAUCCCAUUUCAUUACAGUAUCUAGUGUAUUUUGAACUUCCAAAAGUUAAACAUCCUGUGGGCACAUGAGAAUAGGUUUAAAUAGGUUUUAUUUAAAAAGACCAGUUUUGCUGAAUUAAAAACAUAAACAUAGUUGUUUGGAAAGACUAAAAGCCUUUUCCUUUUAGUCUUUCCAAACAUUUUCAUUUUUUCAUUUAUCAAUGUGAUAAUAAGAUUUCCUUAAAAACAGAUGAACUUCAAAUGUCCUUAUCAUUAGCAUGCUGGUAUUUUCCAGUAUUUGUAUUUGCUGGCAACCUUUUUGUCCUUCCAGGAGAGAGCACUUAUACUUAUUUACACAAAAUAAAGCCAGCUUCUCUUUGUAAGUUCAAUAUUUUGGGCAAGCAGUAAUAUACCAGUCUUCUAGCCAGUCUUAGCAGGAAAUAGUCCUAGUGCUGAUCACAAUGAGAUGACUCGUGGUCUCAGCUCAUUUUGAGAAGUUUAGUAAACAUGUUAUCUCUAGCACAGGGCUGAUGUAAUGUUUAUAAGUUCAGUCUGUCCUUUUUGCCAUUGUUGGUGAUACUCUUGUUACCAAAACAGCCUAAAAGUCUUUUCUUCAUCAUAACCUUCUGAAGGUCACAUAGAGAUGAUGUUUCAUCAUGAUCUAAUAUUUGAAACACAUUUUUAAAGAGAAAUCUUCCAUGCUGUCAAAACACCUCCCUGAAUUUAAAACUUUAAUUCUUAUAAUAAAACUUGAAUAACUUGAUACUGCAGACAGCUUUUAAUUCAUCACCUGAUGUCUAUGUAAGUAAAAUCCAUUUUGUCUAGAUGAUGAAUAAGGUGGGUUAUCUGUAUGACUGAAAAUGUUUACUUAACAUUAUGGUUAGAUGAGCAUCUAUAUUUGUUAACAUAAGGAUCAAUACAUGUCCCUCAGGACACUUGAGCUGACAUAAUCACAGAGGAAAAACUUUAAGUAUAAAGUAGAAAGAAAGAGAAAAAACUCUGCAGCCUGGAUAACCUGUUCUGUAGAGGUUCUGAAAAGGCAGCAGGUUUGUUAAUACUCUUUUUACACUCAACAUAUUUUCCAUUUCAAACUAUCUUUAGAGUGUUUGAAUUGUGACUAUGAUCACAUCACACACACUUUUCUCCCUUUAAUUUCUAGGCUUGUAGCCUAUCAGUUUAAAUGAACUCAGUGUAAUCCUGGCACUCCAGGCUGCAGUGACUCCAUCACCUCUGUGCUCAUGUGUCACCAUCUGGAACCUCACUAGAAAUGCUGCCAUGGAAAAUCAACCCAGCUCCUCAAUCCUGAGCCGUGUCAGGAGGUCUCUAAGAAGGCUGGAAUAACACAAGUGAAAAGAUCCUUCCAACAUAGUGAGCAAGAACUGAAAGGCAGGAAAGCUGCUGAAGAGUCACAUGGCCUUGAGGAACAAGGCAAAGCUAUUCUGCAUUAGAGAAAGGAAAGAGGUUGAACUCUGUUAAGUUCUUGCCACAAAAAAAACACCAACAAAACAUUUGUUAAAAACAACAGUGUCAGUAAAAAGGAUCAAUUUGCAAGAAGUUUAUGCUUUUUGUUCCAGCAGACCUGCUUUUAAAAAUAUUUUAAAAUACAUUAUUCCAUACUUGAAAUCAAACUUAGUCAAGCUCAUGAGGUCUUUUUGUUUUGUUUUGUGUUUUUUUUGGGUUUCUCCCUUGCUAAAUGCCUUACAAAGUAUGAUUACAUACUUUACAUAAUUUACAGCUUACAAAGGCUGAUCUACAGGAAACAAACAUUUGAUCACUUAAAAAUAAAUGUUCAUCUUUCUAUCAGA
Molecule: non-coding RNA, 4924 nt
Organism: Cyanistes caeruleus (blue tit)
Lineage: Eukaryota; Metazoa; Chordata; Aves; Passeriformes; Paridae
Source: RefSeq, a predicted model, not a curated record